AGCAGUCGCCGCGGUAAUACGGAGGGUGCAAGCGUUAAUCGGAAUUACUGGGCGUAAAGCGCACGCAGGCGGUCUGACAAGUCAGAUGUGAAAUCCCCGGGCUUAACCUGGGAACUGCAUUUGAAACUGUUAGGCUGGAGUCUUGUAGAGGGGGGUGGAAUUCCAGGUGUAGCGGUGAAAUGCGUAGAGAUCUGGAGGAAUACCGGUGGCGAAGGCGGCCCCCUGGACAAAGACUGACGCUCAGGUGCGAAAGCGUGGGGAGCAAACAGGAUUAGAUACCCGCGUAGUCCCUGUCUCUUAUAC
RNAcentral lists this ribosomal RNA (303 nucleotides) under uncultured bacterium. RNAcentral's name for it is "partial 16S ribosomal RNA". It matches the Rfam family "Bacterial small subunit ribosomal RNA", at positions 507 to 807 of the family's 1533-position model. The record is from RNAcentral.